This 276-nucleotide long non-coding RNA is filed under the name Elaeis guineensis (African oil palm). RNAcentral's name for it is "long non-coding RNA (EGUI_LNC080744)". Lineage: Eukaryota; Viridiplantae; Streptophyta; Magnoliopsida; Arecales; Arecaceae. The record is from RNAcentral.
GAGACCGCCAUGGUGACUUGCAAGCAACUCACUGCACUUAGGCACUGGACUACCUGAAUUUUUAAUUCAGUGACAGAAGGCUGCUGGGUGUAGUCAAGUACUUGACUUGUCGGUGCGUGUGUCAAGAUGGGAUUAACCACUCCAGUUCAGGAGCUGUGUACAGUCGUAUUUCAAUUUAGUAAAAUUGUAGCCAGGGUAGUCCUAGUGAGGAGUCAUAGGACUGUUUGAGUUGAGCACGAUUCGGAUGAUCUAAUCAAGGUUGACGGUUUAACCCUG